RNAcentral lists this transfer RNA (84 nucleotides) under Azotobacter vinelandii DJ. RNAcentral's name for it is "tRNA-Leu". It matches the Rfam family "tRNA". From Rfam's summary of the family: Transfer RNA (tRNA) molecules are approximately 80 nucleotides in length. Their secondary structure includes four short double-helical elements and three loops (D, anti-codon, and T loops). Further hydrogen bonds mediate the characteristic L-shaped molecular structure. tRNAs have two regions of fundamental functional importance: the anti-codon, which is responsible for specific mRNA codon recognition, and the 3' end, to which the tRNAs corresponding amino acid is attached (by aminoacyl-tRNA synthetases). tRNAs cope with the degeneracy of the genetic code in two manners: having more than one tRNA (with a specific anti-codon) for a particular amino acid; and 'wobble' base-pairing, i.e. permitting non-standard base-pairing at the 3rd anti-codon position. Lineage: Bacteria; Pseudomonadati; Pseudomonadota; Gammaproteobacteria; Pseudomonadales; Pseudomonadaceae. RNAcentral also lists the same sequence under 2 other names. The record is from RNAcentral.
GCCCGGAUGGCGAAAUUGGUAGACGCAAGGGAUUUAAAAUUCCUCGCUGGCGACAGCAUGCCGGUUCGAUCCCGGCUCCGGGCA